This 329-nucleotide ribosomal RNA is filed under the name uncultured eukaryote. RNAcentral describes it as "partial 18S ribosomal RNA". It matches the Rfam family "Eukaryotic small subunit ribosomal RNA", at positions 1470 to 1796 of the family's 1831-position model. The record is from RNAcentral.
CCCUUAGAUGUCCUGGGCUGCACGCGCGCUACACUGAUGUGUCCAGUAAGCACCUAACCUCUUCCGAAAGGAACGGGUAACCUUUGCAAAGCACAUCGUGAUGGGGAUAGAUUAUUGCAAUUAUUAAUCUUCAACGAGGAAUGCCUAGUAAGCGUGAUUCAUCAAAUCGCGUUGAUUACGUCCCUGCCCUUUGUACACACCGCCCGUCGCUCCUACCGAUUGAAUGUGUUGGUGAGGAGCUCGGAUUGGCAGCAGUUGGUGGUUCGCCACCGGCUAUUGCUGAGAAGUCCUCCAAACCGCCCCAUUUAGAGGAAGGAGAAGUCGUAACA